RNAcentral lists this ribosomal RNA (427 nucleotides) under uncultured Veillonella sp. RNAcentral's name for it is "bacterial SSU rRNA". It matches the Rfam family "Bacterial small subunit ribosomal RNA", at positions 353 to 772 of the family's 1533-position model. Lineage: Bacteria; Bacillati; Bacillota; Negativicutes; Veillonellales; Veillonellaceae. The record is from RNAcentral.
AGUGGGGAAUCUUCCGCAAUGGACGAAAGUCUGACGGAGCAACGCCGCGUGAGUGAUGACGGCCUUCGGGUUGUAAAGCUCUGUUAAUCGGGACGAAAGGCCUUCUUGCGAAUAGUGAGAAGGAUUGACGGUACCGGAAUAGAAAGCCACGGCUAACUACGUGCCAGCAGCCGCGGUAAUACGUAGGUGGCAAGCGUUGUCCGGAAUUAUUGGGCGUAAAGCGCGCGCAGGCGGAUAGGUCAGUCUGUCUUAAAAGUUCGGGGCUUAACCCCGUGAUGGGAUGGAAACUGCCAAUCUAGAGUAUCGGAGAGGAAAGUGGAAUUCCUAGUGUAGCGGUGAAAUGCGUAGAUAUUAGGAAGAACACCAGUGGCGAAGGCGACUUUCUGGACGAAAACUGACGCUGAGGCGCGAAAGCCAGGGGAGCGAA